Molecule: long non-coding RNA, 3076 nt
Organism: Sinocyclocheilus grahami
Lineage: Eukaryota; Metazoa; Chordata; Actinopteri; Cypriniformes; Cyprinidae
Source: Ensembl
CUCCACCUUGUGUUCAACCACAAUACAACAGAUUCACUUUACUUUGUAAAUAUUCUCAGUCUCGACCACGCCGGCCGACACGCAAGCAGGGCACCAGCAGCCACCAGGGCUAUGAACAACAGACAGAGGAUGACAACACCACCUAUGAGGACAGGUGAGAUGAGAGGACACAGAUGCAUGGACGCCUUGCCGUUUUAUGUAUUUUUUUUACAAUGCAUUUCCCUUUCCAGUGUAACAGAAAGUCUCGAGCAGUGCUCUGGCACCAGCGACUUACAGGAAGAUGAUGAUCUCUCUCUCUUGGCCGACCCGGAGGAGAUGGAUCUGCUCGGUGAGAUCUUCGACACGCUGAGUGCUCAGAGCUCCAGAGAGCCGGGUUUACUCUACGGCACACGCAGCCUCGACCUCUUCAGCUCCGACAGCAGUGAAUUCAUCUCACAUAAGAGUCUGACCAACCCAAGUCAGGAGAGUCUAAGUCCCUCUUUUGGAAACAGCGGAAGUCUCAUGAGCUGCGAGGAGGAGCUAGAGGAGGGGCCUGGUGGUGAGGGGGAGGAGCCUGAUGUCCUGAUUGACAGGCCAGAAAAUGAGCUUAACCAAUUAGAGAAGGACUUGACCGAGUUAGGGGAAAAUCUGUGUUCAGAUCUACAAAUUCUAGAGGAUGCUUCUCUGGAUCCCGAAGUGGGUUCUCAGGAGCAACAAAAGGACAGCUGGUCGAAAAAUGAUGGACAAAUGAAUGGAACAAUGGAGGAAAGCUUGGAAACCGAGACAGUAGUUACAGAGAGGACAGAGAUGGAACCUGACAAAGAAGAACUUCAGAAAGAGCAUAAGACGACAAAUGACUUGGGCCCAAACGGACCAACAAAUGAAGGAAUGACCUCCGCUGUUUCUCACAAUGUAAAGAUAGACAAAAGAGAAGAGCUAGAUAAGAAGAGCAUUGAACCUCUAUCACCAAACGUUUUGCCUACCGUUGCUCUGUUCCAGUCCUCGGCUGACUCUUCUGGUUCCCGAGGGUGGGAUAAAUCUCUAAAAACUCCCAUCAGAACCCACAAAAUCAAUGUGGGACCAAUGACGGGCCUGCAGACUGAAGAACAAAGUAUGAAAUCGCCUGUUUCAUCAACACCAGAAGAUCAAACCCAGGCUCCCAUUAAGGUCUCAGAGCUGAAGAAGAGAUUCGAACAUUAGAUCAUCACAAAUCAAGCAUACUGAAGCGAAACUAAAAAAUGACUUUUUUAGAUUGUCAAUUACAAGUCUACACGAAACAACACUUGCGCCCCAUUUUGAUUCUUGUGAGGCAACACUGCUGAGUCAAGUUCGAUAAGCGUUCCAUACUGAACUUUAAGACUGUGGAAGGUUAUUUGUCUCAUGUACCUGCUGGUUAAAACUUAACGCUGACAUCAGUCAAUAAAGUCGAAUCAAAGGCAAUGCAAGUUACUCCAAUUUGGUGAAGGAUUGUUUAUCCCUUUGGAAUAAUGUACACUGAACGUGCAUUAAAGUAAAUCAGGUCAAUUUUAACUUUCAUUGUAGCUAAAUGCAGAAUGUUAUCAAAAUAAACUGAUAAAUGCACCAAUUCUGACCAAUAAAGAAAAUCCAACACUUUUUUUAUCCAAAUAUAUUUAAUCAUUUAUAAAAACCUAAUGAGACUAGUUGCUAACUCAGAGCAAAUAUUGACACAGCCAAAACCAAAAACUCUCGAUGAGAUUUACUCACAGAUGCAUUUUAAUUAAUCAUACAGUCACUUAAUCACGGUUUGAUCAACAAAUAUGUUACAGACAUAAUACAAACCUAAUACAAAACAACAUUUGGCAAAGUGCAGUAUAUAUUUUUCUCUCCACCUUUAAAAAAAACUGCAACAUAGCAUUCACUUUUGGUCAUUUAAAGUAUUCAGUAUGACAAUGGUAAACUAUUUUGGAGGUAAAGCUGCCACGUGACUCCUUCAUGAAGACUCUCAGGUGAGUAAACUUAAAGUACAGAUGAAGUAAACAAAGUCAAACUGGUUUGGCUGUCCAUGUAAACCAUCUGGCUUUUUUUUACUUUUGAUGAAUGCACUUCCCAGUGUCUUCAGAUAUCCCAAGUGUGAUAGCAAAACCUCUUCAUGCAUACUUGAAUUGAUUUGUCAGCAUUAACAGUGCAUUGCGAUGUCAAAGCAUUCUCACCUCUCUCUCAAAAAUGCCAAAUAAAUACCCACCACCACUUCAAACGUUCUCCAUCCAUGACCCUCCACUUGUUUGUCAGGAUUGCACACGUGUGUGGACUCCACAUACAUAUCAAUAUUAAGUUAUAAUGAAAGUUCUGUUUAGGUCUACCUGAUCAACCUAAACAGUGGUGUGGUUUGAGCAUCGUUCAGAUCAGUCUCUCCUCUUUGGGCAGUGGGAGAGCGAGCCCGGGUCUCUCGGCUCCGUGGUUCUUGGCUUGUUUGCGCUCUUCCGCGCUGGGCUGGUAUGAUCCCUCCAUCUGCUGCCUCUUACGAAGGACGCACGAGAACAAAACCAAGGCCAGAGUCAGCAGGAACAACAGCGGCAUGAACAGGCCCAACGUGCUCUCCGAACUCAUGAUGCUCCACACAUGCACAUGUGAAAACAAACACAGACUGAGAAUAUCUGUGCAACAGUGGUUCAAGGGUGUGUCUGUUCAAAAAGACACAAAAUGUGAGUAUCCGUGUGUGUGUGUGUGUGUGUGAGAGAGAGAGAGAGAGAGAGCGAGAGAGAGAGCGAGAGGUACCUGGUUAAUUGUGACUACACAGUGGUCAUCCUUUUACAUUUUGGAAGGGAACUUUAACCUAGUGGAAGAGGAAGAUAAAAGCAUGACAUGAAUUCCUACAGUUCACAAACACAUUCACAGAUGAGAAGAUAAUUUCAAAAGAGUCUACUGUUCGGCUGUGGACUGAUGGGGUUAAUUAUUAGUCUGGGAGAACAACACUAACCUACAGCUACAAGGACAUCCACAAAAACACUUAACACACAGCUGAACAUGAACUGAACUCACCCUCAAGUCGUUUCCAAAGCUGUAUGGCUUUCAGUAAAUUGACUAAACUGGUGUCUUUUCCUUAAUCUGAACUAUUUUUGACUCUGAAAUACAGCAC